This 1292-nucleotide long non-coding RNA is filed under the name Homo sapiens (human). Its description in RNAcentral is "HSALNT0391224". Lineage: Eukaryota; Metazoa; Chordata; Mammalia; Primates; Hominidae. The record is from RNAcentral.
ACAACCCGCUCUGAUUCUCUUCCAAAUAAUGGGAAGGUUUUUCCCCCCGUUUUUACAGUAAGUUUUGCUGCUAAUCACUUUGGAUUUUCACUGCAUUUAUGAGCUGUGACAUUCACUGUGAAGGUUUAAGGUUUUGCUGUUGAAGCUGGCAAAACCACAAAACCACCAAGAGAAACUAACAGUUCCACAGGCACUGUCUUAAGAGCUGUAACACCCACCAUGAAGGUCUGCAGUUUCACUCCUGAGCCAGCGAGACCAUGAACCCAGCGCAAGGAAAAAAGUGCAAGUACAUCCGAACUUCAGAACAUCAGAAAGAAGAAACUCUGGACAGGCCCCCUUUAAGAACUGUGACACCACCUGCGAGGGUCUGCGGCUUCAUUCUUGAAGUCAGCCCAAGAACCCACCGAUUUUAGACACACUGGGUUCAAGCGAUUUUCCUGCCUCAGCCUUCCAAGUAGCUGGGAUUACAGGUGUCCACCACCACGCCGGGAACCUUCCAGGUCUGAGCUGAGGUGUCAUCUCUGAACACCAGGCUGCUGCACUAACCAGAAGACCCCUCCCCACCUGCAGUGGCCUCGCUGCAUCGUAAGGAUGGAGGAGCUGUUGUCUCCACAGCUGACAGGUGCUUAGUGGUUAGAAGUCUGGUUUUCGCGCGGCUUAGAUCUUUAACAUCUGAACUAGUCCUGUCAACAUAUUUUGUUAUAUUUCUGGUGGCUUUGUCUUUGAUGCUAUUAUAAAUGAUUAUCUUUUAAAAUAAUACUUUGAUGAUAUAUAGAAAUGAAAUUGAUUUAUUUGACUGUAUCCAGCAACCUUUUCAAAUUCUAAUAAAUUGUGUAGGGAAAAAAAAGUCUGGCUUCGGAGUCAGAACGGAAUUGAAUCCUGCCUCCACCACUUCCUACCUAUAUGACCUGGUGAAACUUAUCCCUCUCUGUGACUCAGUUUCCUCAUCUGUAAAAUGGGAAAAUUGAAAGCAACUAACAGGUUUGGGGCCGUUUUGCUUGCUGCUGCUGUGGCUUCAGUGCUGAGGCCUGGCACUCAGCGGGAUGUCAGCCCAGGACUGGAGCUUCUUUCUCAUGGUAUUAUUUUGAAUUUAGAUGAAAAGAGGUAUUCCAGGAGAGCUCCUGGCACAGGGCCUGGCAGGUGGCACAUCCUCAGUAAAUGUGAGCUGCUGUCAGCUGCUGUGUGAGUGCCUGGUGUGGCCCUGUUGUCCCCUUGAGGGUUGGGGGACAAAACAGGCCCUCAGGAAGCCUGCCUGUGUAUUCGGGGGCUGGGGAGAUCUCUGACCUCCUGUC